GAAAUGCGAUAAGUAAUGUGAAUUGCAGAAUUCCGUGAAUCAUCGAAUCUUUGAACGCACAUUGCGCCCCCUGGUAUUCCGGGGGGCAUGCCUGUCCGAGCGUCAUUGCAACCCUCAAGCGCGGCUUGUGUGUUGGGCCUCGUCCCCUGUGGACGUGCCCGAAAUGCAGUGGCGGUACCGUGCUCCGGUGCCCGAGCGUAUGGGCUUAUCACCCGCUCUGAGGCCCGGCCGGUGCCUGCCGACUUGGUGAACUUCUUUUCAGGUUGACCUCGGAUCAGGUAGGGAUACCCGCUGAACUUAA
Molecule: unclassified non-coding RNA, 301 nt
Filed under: uncultured Onygenales
Lineage: Eukaryota; Fungi; Ascomycota; Eurotiomycetes; Onygenales
Description: sequence contains ITS1
Rfam family: 5.8S ribosomal RNA (bases 1-105)
Source: RNAcentral